CCCAGCUGUAGGCAACUGCCUAGGUUGCCUUGUAUCUAGGUGUUACACUGCUGGGAGAAAAGCGUCCAGUAGCUGGUGGGUAUUCUGGGUCUGGUUAAUGCUAAAUU
Ochotona princeps (American pika) is the source of this 107-nucleotide small nucleolar RNA. Its record names the gene SNORA74. It matches the Rfam family "Small nucleolar RNA SNORA74". Rfam says of the family: U19 belongs to the H/ACA class of snoRNAs. snoRNAs bind a number of proteins (including dyskerin, Gar1p and Nop10p in the case of the H/ACA class) to form snoRNP complexes. This class are thought to guide the sites of modification of uridines to pseudouridines by forming direct base pairing interactions with substrate RNAs. Lineage: Eukaryota; Metazoa; Chordata; Mammalia; Lagomorpha; Ochotonidae. The record is from Ensembl.